Molecule: ribosomal RNA, 497 nt
Filed under: uncultured bacterium
Lineage: Bacteria
Description: partial 16S ribosomal RNA
Rfam family: Bacterial small subunit ribosomal RNA
Source: RNAcentral
GAUGAACGCUGGCGGCGUGCCUAAUACAUGCAAGUCGAGCGAACGGACGAGAAGCUUGCUUCUCUGAUGUUAGCGGCGGACGGGUGAGUAACACGUGGAUAACCUACCUAUAAGACUGGGAUAACUUCGGGAAACCGUAGCUAAUACCGGAUAAUAUUUUGAACCGCAUGGUUCAAAAGUGAAAGACGGUCUUGCUGUCACUUAUAGAUGGAUCCGCGCUGCAUUAGCUAGUUGGUAAGGUAACGGCUUACCAAGGCAACGAUGCAUAGCCGACCUGAGAGGGUGAUCGGCCACACUGGAACUGAGACACGGUCCAGACUCCUGCGGGAGGCAGCAGUAGGGAAUGUUCCGCAAUGGGCGAAAGCCUGACGGAGCAACGCCGCGUGAGUGAUGAAGGUCUUCGGAUCGUAAAACUCUGUUAUUAGGGAAGAACAUAUGUGUAAGUAACUGUGCACAUCUUGACGGUACCUAAUCAGAAAGCCACGGCUAACUACGUG